RNAcentral lists this long non-coding RNA (649 nucleotides) under Phasianus colchicus (ring-necked pheasant). Its description in RNAcentral is "lncRNA (ENSPCLG00000019806.1)". Lineage: Eukaryota; Metazoa; Chordata; Aves; Galliformes; Phasianidae. The record is from RNAcentral.
GGGCUGCCCCAUAAGUCCCCCCGCUGUGGGGCUGCCCCAUAAGUGCCCCAUAGGUCUGUUAGUUGUGGGGCUGCCCCAUAAGUGCCCCAUAGGUCUGUUAGUUAUGGGGCUGCCCCAUAGGGCCGCUGAUGCCCCCCGCCCCCCGCAGGGCCCCCCCCCCACUGCCGGAGCUGCAGCGCGAGCUGGAGGCGCUGACUCAGCAACUGGAGCGGCUGAGGGCGCAGGUGGGGGGCUGGGACCCACAAGUGGGGGGUGGGACCCACAAGUGUGGGUGGGGGGCUGUGGGACCCCUAUAUGUGGGUGGGGGGCUGUGGGACCCCCGGGUGUGGGGCUGGGGGACCCUGGGGUGUGGGGCUGGGGGACCCACAAGUUGGGGGUGGGACCCCCAUGUGUGGGUGUGGGGCUGUGGGACCCCCAAGUGUGGGGCUGGGACCCCCAACUAUGGGGUGGGACCCCCAAGUGUGGGGCUGGGACCCCCAAGUGUGGGUGUGGGGCUGUGGGACCCCUAUGAACGCCCCCAGUCCGUCUAUGGGGCCGCCCCCCAACCACCCCCCCUUCCGCCCCACAGCGCCCCCCGGCGGCGCCCCCCCCCGCACCGCCGCCCCCCCGCGUCACGGCGGCGCUGCUGGCGGCUUUCGGGGCCGCUGAG